GGGGUACAGGUUGGUAGCUUUAUCUCUGCUUUAGCUCCUCGCAGUGUAGCUAAGAUGACGACACGCAUUGGCGCAUAUACUGAGUUCGAUGCUGACUUGAACUGGUUGGAAACUGACCCGAGCAGGGCAAAAACUGCAGGCGGAUCCAGGUGUGUACACAAUAUAUUAUUCCUGUGCAGUUUCACUUUGGUUUUGGAUGAUGUCUACUGAUGGGGACGUUUUGCAUUUGUGGAGGAGGAUAAGCGACAGCAGGAAAGACAUUGAAUAAUUGUCUAAUAGACCGGUGGGGUUGUGUUUCUGAGGCUCAGACGAUGGCCUUCAAAUUGAUAUUUGUGUGAAAUUGAGUGCUCGAACACUUGCAUAAAUCAUUUUUUUUAUCA
Molecule: long non-coding RNA, 380 nt
Filed under: Setaria italica (foxtail millet)
Lineage: Eukaryota; Viridiplantae; Streptophyta; Magnoliopsida; Poales; Poaceae
Description: long non-coding RNA (SITA_LNC003905)
Source: RNAcentral